AUUGAACGCUGGCGGAAUGCUUUACACGUGCAAGUCGAACGGCAGCACGGGGGCAACCCUGGUGGCGAGUGGCGAACGGGUGAGUAAUACAUCGGAACGUGCCCGGUCGUGGGGGAUAACGUAGCGAAAGUUACGCUAAUACCGCAUACGAUCUGAGGAUGAAAGCGGGGGACCUUCGGGCCUCGCGCGAUCGGAGCGGCCGAUGUCAGAUUAGGUAGUUGGUGGGGUAAAGGCCUACCAAGCCGACGAUCUGUAGCUGGUCUGAGAGGACGACCAGCCACGCUGGGACUGAGACACGGCCCAGACUCCUACGGGAGGCAGCAGUGGGGAAUUUUGGACAAUGGGCGCAAGCCUGAUCCAGCCAUUCCGCGUGCAGGACGAAGGCCUUCGGGUUGUAAACUGCUUUUGUAUGGAACGAAAAGGCUCUGGCUAAUACCUGGGGCUCAUGACGGUACCGUAAGAAUAAGCACCGGCUAACUACGUG
Molecule: ribosomal RNA, 484 nt
Filed under: uncultured bacterium
Lineage: Bacteria
Description: partial 16S ribosomal RNA
Rfam family: Bacterial small subunit ribosomal RNA
Source: RNAcentral